RNAcentral lists this ribosomal RNA (1005 nucleotides) under Arthrobacter sp. Its description in RNAcentral is "bacterial SSU rRNA". It matches the Rfam family "Bacterial small subunit ribosomal RNA", at positions 56 to 1061 of the family's 1533-position model. The record is from RNAcentral. Lineage: Bacteria; Bacillati; Actinomycetota; Actinomycetes; Micrococcales; Micrococcaceae.
UGCAGUCGAACGAUGAACCUCACUUGUGGGGGGAUUAGUGGCGAACGGGUGAGUAACACGUGAGUAACCUGCCCUUGACUCUGGGAUAAGCCUGGGAAACCGGGUCUAAUACUGGAUACGACCUUCUGGCGCAUGCCAUGUUGGUGGAAAGCUUUUGUGGUUUUGGAUGGACUCGCGGCCUAUCAGCUUGUUGGUGGGGUAAUGGCCUACCAAGGCGACGACGGGUAGCCGGCCUGAGAGGGUGACCGGCCACACUGGGACUGAGACACGGCCCAGACUCCUACGGGAGGCAGCAGUGGGGAAUAUUGCACAAUGGGCGCAAGCCUGAUGCAGCGACGCCGCGUGAGGGAUGAAGGCCUUCGGGUUGUAAACCUCUUUCAGUAGGGAAGAAGCCUGUCUUUUGGGUGGGUGACGGUACCUGCAGAAGAAGCGCCGGCUAACUACGUGCCAGCAGCCGCGGUAAUACGUAGGGCGCAAGCGUUAUCCGGAAUUAUUGGGCGUAAAGAGCUCGUAGGCGGUUUGUCGCGUCUGCCGUGAAAGUCCGGGGCUUAACUCCGGAUCUGCGGUGGGUACGGGCAGACUAGAGUGCAGUAGGGGAGACUGGAAUUCCUGGUGUAGCGGUGAAAUGCGCAGAUAUCAGGAGGAACACCGAUGGCGAAGGCAGGUCUCUGGGCUGUAACUGACGCUGAGGAGCGAAAGCAUGGGGAGCGAACAGGAUUAGAUACCCUGGUAGUCCAUGCCGUAAACGUUGGGCACUAGGUGUGGGGGACAUUCCACGUUUUCCGCGCCGUAGCUAACGCAUUAAGUGCCCCGCCUGGGGGAGUACGGCCGCAAGGCUAAAACUCAAAGGAAUUGACGGGGGCCCGCACAAGCGGCGGAGCAUGCGGAUUAAUUCGAUGCAACGCGAAGAACCUUACCAAGGCUUGACAUGAACCGGAAUGAUGCCAAAGAUGUGUCAGCCACUUGUGGCCGGUUUACAGGUGGGGGCAUGGUUGUCGUCAGCUC